GCUAAAAAAUAUAUUAUAUGAUAUAUUAUAUAUUAAUAACUAACUUUAAAGUUUAAAUGGUAAUUUAAAUAUGACUUUUUAUGAAAAUAAUUGUAUAAAAUUACUUCAAGAACCAAACCAAAACUGAAGAACUAUGAACCAAACCGGAAAUGAAACAUCGAAUAACCAAACUGGAACCAUACAAAAAUUUUGGUUUGGUUUGGUUGUAGUUCCUAGGAAGACUCCAAACCGAAAGAGCACAACCCUUAAUCUUAAGUUGUUAACCAAUCAAAGUCCCAUUUAUUUGUUUUUCAAAAAGUGAAAUAGGUGAUUCAACGCUCCAUUGCAAGUACGACACCAAGAAUAGAUCUCAUUGUAAUUGAUGAAUUUCAAGAUUUAUCAAUAUUAAUCCAAAUUCCAAAUCUAUGUAAAGUUGAAGCUUCAUUCAUUCAAACUUGGUGCCUAGUAUCACAUUUAUCAAAUAAAUCCAUCAGUCAGCCAUAGGUUAUGAUACAGUACAGGAAGGAAUGAUAACCAACUCUAAAACCACCCAAUCCCUUCCCCCCUCCCCAUGAAAAAAAGAUUGCAGAGAGAGAGUGUGUGUUGGGGGGAAGAAACUAUCGUAUAGAAGUAUAUUGAAGUAGUCCAUCUCUUUGCUAAUAUAAAACAUCUCAUCUAUUCAUUCUAAACUCCACUUUUAUUCUUUUCCCAUUUUUAAAGUCAGAAUAUAAGAAACAACGCAAUAGAGACCACAAAAUGAUAAAGU
This 745-nucleotide unclassified non-coding RNA is filed under the name Hevea brasiliensis (rubber tree). The record is from RNAcentral. Lineage: Eukaryota; Viridiplantae; Streptophyta; Magnoliopsida; Malpighiales; Euphorbiaceae.